Non-coding RNA from Salmo salar (Atlantic salmon), 441 nucleotides. Lineage: Eukaryota; Metazoa; Chordata; Actinopteri; Salmoniformes; Salmonidae. The record is from RefSeq and is a predicted model, not a curated record.
CAUAGAUACAGAGCCACUUGCUGCUCUCUCAGCACAACGGGAAAUAUCUCAAUGACUUGACAGGUUCUGGUUGUGAAUUCAGGCUACAAGGGCUCAGUGCUCUAAAAUGAGUCUCUCCGGGGAGAGAGAGGAGGGGGGUCCUGCCUCUAAAAUGAGUCUCUCCGGGGAGAGAGAGGAGGGAGGCCCUGCCUCUAAAAUGAGUCUCUCUGGGGAGAGAGAGGAGGGAGGCCCUGCCUCUAAAAUGAGUCUCUCCGGGGAGAGAGAGGAGGGGGGUCCUGCCUCUAAAAGGAGUCUCUUUGGUGAACAUGACACCAAAUGUAAGAGCCCAAUCAAGCAGGAGAGACCAGCCUCCCCUGUUCCCAGCUGUGUGUCCAUGAAGAGUGACUGGUCAAUGAGUCAACCUAUACAGUUUAGAGAGGGAGACUUUUCUACUGAACAAAG